Molecule: ribosomal RNA, 868 nt
Filed under: Oxyporus populinus
Lineage: Eukaryota; Fungi; Basidiomycota; Agaricomycetes; Hymenochaetales; Schizoporaceae
Description: eukaryotic LSU rRNA
Rfam family: Eukaryotic large subunit ribosomal RNA
Source: RNAcentral
UAACAAGGAUUCCCCUAGUAACUGCGAGUGAAGCGGGAAAAGCUCAAAUUUAAAAUCUGGCGGUUGCACCGUCCGAGUUGUAAUCUGGAGAAGCGUUUUCCGUGUUGGACCGUGUACAAGUCCCUUGGAACGGGGCGUCAUAGAGGGUGAGAAUCCCGUCCAUGACACGGACUGCCAAUGCUUUGUGAUACGCUCUCGAAAAGUCGAGUUGUUUGGGAAUGCAGCUCAAAAUGGGUGGUAAAUUCCAUCUAAAGCUAAAUAUUGGCGAGAGACCGAUAGCGAACAAGUACCGUGAGGGAAAGAUGAAAAGCACUUUGGAAAGAGAGUUAAACAGUACGUGAAAUUGUUGAAAGGGAAACGCUUGGAGUCAGUCGCGUCUGUCGAGACUCAGCCUUGCCUUCGGGCUUGGUGUACUUCUCGGCCUGACGGGCCAACAUCGAUUUCGAACGGCGGAUAAAGGUCUGGGGAAGGUGGCACCUUCGGGUGUGUUAUAGCCCCUCUCCGUAUACGUCGUCGGGGAUCGAGGACCGCAGCACGCCCUUGUGGCUGGGGCCCUUUGCCCACAUAACGUGCUUAGGAUGUUGGCGUAAUGGCUUUAAGCGACCCGUCUUGAAACACGGACCAAGGAGUCUAACAUGCCCGCGAGUGUUAGGGUGUAAAACCCUUGCGCGUAAUGAAAGUGAAAGUUGGGACCUCUGUCGAGGAGGGCACCGACGCCCGGCCCUGAACUCUUGUGACGGUGCUGCGGUAGAGCGUGUAUGUUGGGACCCGAAAGAUGGUGAACUAUGCCUGAAUAGGGCGAAGCCAGAGGAAACUCUGGUGGAGGCUCGUAGCGAUUCUGACGUGCAAAUCGAUCGUCAAAUUUGGG